Molecule: small RNA, 876 nt
Filed under: Pan troglodytes (chimpanzee)
Lineage: Eukaryota; Metazoa; Chordata; Mammalia; Primates; Hominidae
Description: processed transcript
Source: RNAcentral
UGGAUGCAGGCAACGCUCCUGGCACACAGCAGGUCCCUGCGCCAACAGACCUGCUGGAGCCCAGGGAUGCCAGGCCCGAAGCCGAGGCGGCUGAUGACUUCCCGCCCAGGCCUGAGGUAGAUCUGGCCUCGGAAGUGGCCUUAGAGGUGGUGCGGACAGCAGAGCCUGGCGUGUGGUUGGAGGCUCAGGCCCCGGUGGCCCUGGUGGCUCAGCCUGAGCCCCUGCCGGCCACAGCUGGUGUGAAGAGGGAGAGCGUGGGCAUGGAGGUGGCGGUGCUGACCGAUGACCCGCUGCCCGUUGUGGACCAGCAGCAGGUGCUGGCCCGUCUGCAGCUGUUGGAGCAGCAGGUUGUGGGUGGAGAGCAGGCCAAGAACAAGGACCUGAAGGAGAAGCACAAGCGGCGCAAGCGCUACGCAGACGAGCGCAGGAAGCAGCUGGUGGCUGCCCUGCAGAACUCGGAUGAGGACAGCGGGGACUGGGUGCUGCUUAACGUCUACGACUCCAUCCAGGAGGAAGUGCGGGCCAAGAGCAAGCUGCUAGAGAAGAUGCAGAGGAAGCUUCGGGCAGCAGAGGUGGAGAUCAAAGAUCUGCAGUCCGAGUUUCAGCUGGAGAAGAUCGAUUACUUGGCCACCAUCCGCCGGCAGGAGCGUGACUCCAUGCUCUUGCAGCAGCUCCUGGAGCAGGUGCAGCCCCUGAUUCGCAGGGACUGUAACUACAGCAACCUGGAGAAGAUUCUGCGUGAGUCCUGCUGGGACGAAGAUAACGGCUUCUGGAAGAUCCCACAUCCCGUCAUCACAAAAACCAGCCUCCCAGUAGUUUCAACUGGGCCACAGAACAAACCAGCCCGCAAAACCUCUGCAGCAGACAAUGGCGAGC